This 258-nucleotide long non-coding RNA is filed under the name Lathyrus oleraceus (garden pea). RNAcentral describes it as "Pisum sativum (pea) long non-coding RNA (PSAT_LNC010504)". Lineage: Eukaryota; Viridiplantae; Streptophyta; Magnoliopsida; Fabales; Fabaceae. The record is from RNAcentral.
UCCUAUAGAAUUUAAGGACGAGGUUGAUUCUGAAAGAUUAGGAUGAGAUUGAUAAUGUUUAAAUCCGCCUUAUUUUAAUCGUUGCCAUGUCUAUAAUUAUUAAUAGUGUAUAUAAAUAAAUGUAAUAUUUUAUAUAGGUUCCGAGUAUAUUUUGAGUUUCCACUUUUUUAUAUUUUUUAUUUUUAACCAUUUUAAUUAGAACAUAGGACUACCAAUUCUAUUCAAGAUUUCAUCAUUUUAAAAAAUGUUGGAUUUCUU